RNAcentral lists this ribosomal RNA (469 nucleotides) under uncultured bacterium. Its description in RNAcentral is "partial 16S ribosomal RNA". It matches the Rfam family "Bacterial small subunit ribosomal RNA", at positions 28 to 507 of the family's 1533-position model. The record is from RNAcentral.
GACGAACGCUGGCGGCGUGCUUAACACAUGCAAGUCGAACGAUGAAGCCUUAGCUUGCUUUGGUGGAUUAGUGGCGAACGGGUGAGUAACACGUGAGCAACGUGCCCAGGACUCUGGAAUAACCGCGGGAAACCGUGGCUAAUACCGGAUAGGUGCCGAGGCCGCAUGGUCUUCGGUUGGAAAGUUUUUGCGGUUCUGGAUCGGCUCACGGCCUAUCAGCUUGUUGGUGGGGUAAUGGCCUACCAAGGCGACGACGGGUAGCCGGCCUGAGAGGGUGACCGGCCAAACUGGGACUGAGACACGGCCCAGACUCCUACGGGAGGCAGCAGUGGGGAAUAUUGCACAAUGGGCGCAAGCCUGAUGCAGCAACGCCGCGUGGGGGAUGACGGCCUUCGGGUUGUAAACCUCUUUUAGUAGGGAAGAAGCGCAAGUGACGGUACCUGCAGAAAAAGCACCGGCUAACUACGUG